RNAcentral lists this ribosomal RNA (206 nucleotides) under uncultured bacterium. Its description in RNAcentral is "partial 16S ribosomal RNA". It matches the Rfam family "Bacterial small subunit ribosomal RNA", at positions 571 to 776 of the family's 1533-position model. The record is from RNAcentral.
GCAGGCGGCUUGGUAAGUCGGACGUGAAAUCCCUCAGCUUAACUGGGGAACUGCGUCUGAUACUGGUUGGCUUGAGUGCAGGAGAGGAACGCGGAAUUCCAGGUGUAGCGGUGAAAUGCGUAGAUAUCUGGAGGAACACCGGUGGCGAAGGCGGCGUUCUGGACUGCAACUGACACUGAGGAACGAAAGCCAGGGGAGCAAACGGG